This 253-nucleotide ribosomal RNA is filed under the name uncultured bacterium. Its description in RNAcentral is "partial 16S ribosomal RNA". It matches the Rfam family "Bacterial small subunit ribosomal RNA", at positions 524 to 776 of the family's 1533-position model. The record is from RNAcentral.
UACGAAGGGGGCUAGCGUUGUUCGGAAUUACUGGGCGUAAAGCGUGCGCAGGCGGCUUCUCAAGUCAGGGGUGAAAGCCCAGAGCUCAACUCUGGAAUUGCCUUUGAGACUGAGUGGCUUGAGUACGGGAGAGGUGAGUGGAAUUCCCAGUGUAGAGGUGAAAUUCGUAGAUAUUCGGAAGAACACCAGUGGCGAAGGCGACUUACUGGACACAUAUUGACGCUGAGGUGCGAAAGCGUGGGGAGCAAACAGG